Molecule: transfer RNA, 77 nt
Filed under: Candidatus Peregrinibacteria bacterium
Lineage: Bacteria; Candidatus Peregrinibacteriota
Also listed under: 1 other name
Description: tRNA-Ala
Rfam family: tRNA
About the family: Transfer RNA (tRNA) molecules are approximately 80 nucleotides in length.
Source: RNAcentral
GGGGCUGUAGCUCAGCUGGCUAGAGCGUCUGCAUGGCAUGCAGAAGGUCAGGGGUUCAAGUCCCCUCAGCUCCACCA